UGGCGGCAGGCCUAACACAUGCAAGUCGAACGGUAACAGGAAGAAGCUUGCUUUUUUGCUGACGAGUGGCGGACGGGUGAGUAAUGUCUGGGAAACUGCCUGAUGGAGGGGGAUAACUACUGGAAACGGUAGCUAAUACCGCAUAACGUCGCAAGACCAAAGAGGGGGACCUUCGGGCCUCUUGCCAUCGGAUGUGCCCAGAUGGGAUUAGCUUGUUGGUGGGGUAACGGCUCACCAAGGCGACGAUCCCUAGCUGGUCUGAGAGGAUGACCAGCCACACUGGAACUGAGACACGGUCCAGACUCCUACGGGAGGCAGCAGUGGGGAAUAUUGCACAAUGGGCGCAAGCCUGAUGCAGCCAUGCCGCGUGUAUGAAGAAGGCCUUCGGGUUGUAAAGUACUUUCAGCGGGGAGGAAGGGAGUAAAGUUAAUACCUUGCUCAUGACGUACCCGCAGAAGA
This 459-nucleotide ribosomal RNA is filed under the name Escherichia coli. RNAcentral describes it as "bacterial SSU rRNA". It matches the Rfam family "Bacterial small subunit ribosomal RNA", at positions 37 to 488 of the family's 1533-position model. Lineage: Bacteria; Pseudomonadati; Pseudomonadota; Gammaproteobacteria; Enterobacterales; Enterobacteriaceae. The record is from RNAcentral.